CCUACGGGUGGCAGCAGUGGGGAAUAUUGGACAAUGGGGGGAACCCUGAUCCAGCCAUGCCGCGUGUGUGAAGAAGGCCCUCGGGUUGUAAAGCACUUUCAGUGAGGAAGAACGCCUGGUGGUUAAUACCCAUCAGGAAAGACAUCACUCACAGAAGAAGCACCGGCUAACUCCGUGCCAGCAGCCGCGGUAAUACGGAGGGUGCGAGCGUUAAUCGGAAUUACUGGGCGUAAAGCGCGCGUAGGUGGCUUGAUAAGCCGGUUGUGAAAGCCCCGGGCUCAACCUGGGAACGGCAUCCGGAACUGUCAAGCUAGAGUGCAGGAGAGGAAGGUAGAAUUCCCGGUGUAGCGGUGAAAUGCGUAGAGAUCGGGAGGAAUACCAGUGGUGAAGGCGGCCUUCUGGACUGACACUGACACUGAGGUGCGAAAGCGUGGGUAGCAAACAGGAUUAGAUACCCCUGUAGUC
RNAcentral lists this ribosomal RNA (465 nucleotides) under Vreelandella stevensii. RNAcentral describes it as "partial 16S ribosomal RNA". It matches the Rfam family "Bacterial small subunit ribosomal RNA", at positions 338 to 795 of the family's 1533-position model. Lineage: Bacteria; Pseudomonadati; Pseudomonadota; Gammaproteobacteria; Oceanospirillales; Halomonadaceae. The record is from RNAcentral.